RNAcentral lists this non-coding RNA (102 nucleotides) under Geomicrobium sp. JCM 19039. RNAcentral describes it as "Purine riboswitch aptamer". It matches the Rfam family "Purine riboswitch aptamer". From Rfam's summary of the family: Riboswitches are metabolite binding domains within certain messenger RNAs that serve as precision sensors for their corresponding targets. RNAcentral also lists the same sequence under 1 other name. The record is from Rfam by way of RNAcentral. Lineage: Bacteria; Bacillati; Bacillota; Bacilli; Caryophanales.
UUGAUCUUUCACAAGAUACCUCAUAUAAAUUCGAGAAUAUGGCUCGAAAGUUUCUACCUGGCUACCGUAAAUGGCUGGACUAUGAGGAGACAAAUGGUUGUC